GAACGAACGCUGGCGGCAUGCCUAACACAUGCAAGUCGAACGAAGUCUUCGGACUUAGUGGCGCACGGGUGCGUAACGCGUGGGAAUCUGCCCUUGGGUACGGAAUAACUCAGAGAAAUUUGUGCUAAUACCGUAUAAUGUCUUCGGACCAAAGAUUUAUCGCCCAAGGAUGAGCCCGCGUAAGAUUAGCUAGUUGGUGGGGUAAAAGCCUACCAAGGCGACGAUCUUUAGCUGGUCUGAGAGGAUGAUCAGCCACACUGGGACUGAGACACGGCCCAGACUCCUACGGGAGGCAGCAGUGGGGAAUAUUGGACAAUGGGCGAAAGCCUGAUCCAGCAAUGCCGCGUGAGUGAUGAAGGCCCUAGGGUUGUAAAGCUCUUUUACCAGGGAUGAUAAUGACAGUACCUGGAGAAUAAGCUCCGGCUAACUCCGUG
This 434-nucleotide ribosomal RNA is filed under the name uncultured bacterium. RNAcentral describes it as "partial 16S ribosomal RNA". It matches the Rfam family "Bacterial small subunit ribosomal RNA", at positions 27 to 507 of the family's 1533-position model. The record is from RNAcentral.